This 566-nucleotide ribosomal RNA is filed under the name uncultured bacterium. RNAcentral's name for it is "partial 16S ribosomal RNA". It matches the Rfam family "Bacterial small subunit ribosomal RNA", at positions 355 to 914 of the family's 1533-position model. The record is from RNAcentral.
UGGGGAAUUUUGGACAAUGGGCGAAAGCCUGAUCCAGCAAUGCCGCGUGUGUGAAGAAGGCCUUCGGGUUGUAAAGCACUUUUGUCCGGAAAGAAAUCCUUGGCUCUAAUACAGUCGGGGGAUGACGGUACCGGAAGAAUAAGCACCGGCUAACUACGUGCCAGCAGCCGCGGUAAUACGUAGGGUGCAAGCGUUAAUCGGAAUUACUGGGCGUAAAGCGUGCGCAGGCGGUUUGCUAAGACCGAUGUGAAAUCCCCGGGCUCAACCUGGGAACUGCAUUGGUGACUGGCAGGCUAGAGUAUGGCAGAGGGGGGUAGAAUUCCACGUGUAGCAGUGAAAUGCGUAGAGAUGUGGAGGAUACCGAUGGCGAAGGCAGCCCCCUGGGCCAAUACUGACGCUCAUGCACGAAAGCGUGGGGAGCAAAACAGGAUUAGAUACCCUGGUAGUCCACGCCCUAAACGAUGUCAACUAGUUGUUGGGGAUUCAUUUCCUUAGUAACGUAGCUAACGCGUGAAGUUGACCGCCUGGGGAGUACGGUCGCAAGAUUAAAACUCAAAGGAAUUGAC